UGGGGAAUAUUGCACAAUGGGCGGAAGCCUGAUGCAGCGACGCCGCGUGGGGGAUGAAGGCCUUCGGGUUGUAAACUCCUUUCGACAGGGACGAAGCUUAAGUGACGGUACCUGUAUAAGAAGCACCGGCUAACUACGUGCCAGCAGCCGCGGUAAUACGUAGGGUGCGAGCGUUGUCCGGAAUUACUGGGCGUAAAGAGCUCGUAGGUGGUUUGUCGCGUCGUCUGUGAAAUUCCGGGGCUUAACUCCGGGCGUGCAGGCGAUACGGGCUGACUUGAGUGCUGUAGGGGAGACUGGAAUUCCUGGUGUAGCGGUGAAAUGCGCAGAUAUCAGGAGGAACACCGAUGGCGAAGGCAGGUCUCUGGGCAGUAACUGACGCUGAGGAGCGAAAGCAUGGGUAGCGAACAGGAUUAGAUACCCUGGUAGUCCAUGCCGUAAACGGUGGGCGCUAGGUGUAGGGGGCUUCCACGUCUUCUGUGCCGUAGCUAACGCAUUAAGCGCCCCGCCUGGGGAGUACGGCCGCAAGGCUA
This 530-nucleotide ribosomal RNA is filed under the name uncultured bacterium. Its description in RNAcentral is "bacterial SSU rRNA". It matches the Rfam family "Bacterial small subunit ribosomal RNA", at positions 355 to 896 of the family's 1533-position model. The record is from RNAcentral.